RNAcentral lists this ribosomal RNA (492 nucleotides) under uncultured bacterium. RNAcentral describes it as "partial 16S ribosomal RNA". It matches the Rfam family "Bacterial small subunit ribosomal RNA", at positions 29 to 507 of the family's 1533-position model. The record is from RNAcentral.
AGUGUACGCUGGCGGUAGGCCUAACACAUGCAAGUCGAACGGCAGCACAGUAAGAGCUUGCUCUUACGGGUGGUGAGUGGCGGACGGGUGAGGAAUACAUCGGAAUCUACUUUUUCGUGGGGGAUAACGUAGGGAAACUUACGCUAAUACCGCAUACGACCUACGGGUGAAAGCAGGGGAUCUUCGGACCUUGCGCGGUUGAAUGAGCCGAUGUCGGAUUAGCUAGUUGGCGGGGUAAAGGCCCACCAAGGCGACGAUCCGUAGCUGGUCUGAGAGGAUGAUCAGCCACACUGGAACUGAGACACGGUCCAGACUCCUACGGGAGGCAGCAGUGGGGAAUAUUGGACAAUGGGCGCAAGCCUGAUCCAGCCAUACCGCGUGGGUGAAGAAGGCCUUCGGGUUGUAAAGCCCUUUUGUUGGGAAAGAAAAGCAGCAGGUUAAUACCCCGCUGUUCUGACGGUACCCAAAGAAUAAGCACCGGCUAACUUCGUG